AGCAGCCGCGGUAAUUCCAGCUCCAAUAGCGUAUAUUAAAGUUGUUGCAGUUAAAAAGCUCGUAGUUGAAUUUCGGGACCAAUAUGUCGGUCGUGCUUCGGUACGUACUUGCAUUAUUGGUUUCUCCCUUCUGAGGAACCAUGAUGUCAUUAAUUUGGUGUCGUGGGAAAUCAGGACUGUUACUUUGAAAAAAUUAGAGUGUUUAAAGCAGGCUCGCGCUUGAAUACAUUAGCAUGGAAUAAUGAAAUAGGACGUUUGAUUCUAUUUUGUUGGUUUCUAGGAUCGACGUAAUGAUUAAUAGGGAUAGUUGGGGGCAUUAGUAUUCAAUUGUCAGAGGUGAAAUUCUUGGAUUUAUUGAAGACUAACUACUGCGAAAGCAUUUGCCAAGGAUGUUUUCAUUAAUCAAGAACGAAAGUUAGGGGAUCGAAGACGAUCAGAUACCGUCGUAGUCUUAACCAUAAACUAUGCCGACUAGGGAUCGGAUGAUGUUAUUUUUGAUGACUCA
RNAcentral lists this ribosomal RNA (505 nucleotides) under uncultured Glomus. RNAcentral describes it as "SSU rRNA". It matches the Rfam family "Eukaryotic small subunit ribosomal RNA", at positions 569 to 1078 of the family's 1831-position model. Lineage: Eukaryota; Fungi; Glomeromycota; Glomeromycetes; Glomerales; Glomeraceae. The record is from RNAcentral.